GACUAGGUCUCACUAUGUGGGUCAGAAUACCUUGAGCUUCUGGACUCAGAUCAGAAGCUGAGAUCUCCUGAGCACACACACUGGCAGAGCAGGCUCCUUGACCCUGACCAUGCUUCCCAUGGACUCCUGGCCACACUCUCCUCACAGUGUCCUGCUGCUGACCCUGCUGCUGGGACUUACAGACAGGUUCCACUGUGCAGCAUUAUCUGUCCCAGGACUUCCUGUAUAUACCAGGUUGGCCUCAAAUUUACAGAGAUACACUGGCCUCUGAUUCUCUAGUGCUGAGAUUAAAGCUGUGCACCACCAUGCUAGGCUCUACUUCUUAUGCUUUUCACAGAUAAUUAUAAAAUGUGUGAAAAACAAUGUGAGCCCCUCUUCUCUGUAUGAAAUUCCUAUUUUGAAUGCAUUUGCCUAUUUUUAAUCUAUUCUCUUGGAGUUGACCAUCACUGCUCACUUUAGUUCAUGUUCUCUGGUGAUAUUCUGGCUCAUAAACUACCAACCUAUUGAUGUUCUCUGUUGAGCUGUGCCUAAUUUAGGAAUAAAAAUUAUUCUCAUUUCUAUUUUUCUCAAAGU
This is a long non-coding RNA of Meriones unguiculatus (Mongolian gerbil), 573 nucleotides long. RefSeq lists it as uncharacterized. The record is from RefSeq and is a predicted model, not a curated record. NCBI's taxonomy places the organism in Eukaryota, Metazoa, Chordata, Mammalia, Rodentia, Muridae. The transcript is spliced from 3 exons.